Piliocolobus tephrosceles (Ugandan red Colobus) is the source of this 1214-nucleotide long non-coding RNA. The record is from Ensembl. Lineage: Eukaryota; Metazoa; Chordata; Mammalia; Primates; Cercopithecidae.
CGAAUAUAAUAACACCGAAUAUAAUAAAAAAAAUUUAAUAAACAAAGAAACUUAUUAUAAUGAUAUUGUUUUGUUUCAUUUUAGUUACGACAUUUUAUUUAAUACUAUGACUUCAAAACAUGGAAACAAUAAUAUUUCCUCAUAUAAAAGUAACAAACAAUAUUAUAAUACACAUAUGUUUGAUAAUACACAUAUGUUUGGUAGUGCAGAUAUGUUUGAUAGUGUAGAUAUCACAGAUUACACAGAUGAGUUAAUCUAUAUACCUACUACUAGUGUUAAUACAAAUUAUAACAACUUAAUGCGUAAGAAAAGAAAAAAAAUAAAUCUAAACAUAGAUAAACAUAUAAGUGAUAGUUUCUAUUCUUUAUGGUUAUGUGUAUUAAAAUUAACAAUUAAAUUAUUUCAUACAAAUAAAGAUAUUUUUAUAACAAAUAUUUGUUCUUUGUAUAUAUCUACUACAUAUUUUGUAGAAGAUUAUUUUGAAAAAUUAGUUAUGACUGAAUAUAAUAACACAUAUCACCCCAAUUCUGUCACAGUCCUUGAUAAUGACGAAAUAAACUUUAACGUUAGUAAUUAUUGCUUUGAUAUAAUUAUGGAAUAUUUAUGUCUAUUUCAUAUUUUUGAAAAGGAUAAUUAUUAUUUAACAUAUGAAUCUGAACUGACUGAAAUACUAACAAAUGAUUUAUUAAAAAAUAAUUUAUUAAAUAUAAUUUAUAAAAAUUUUAUGCUAACUAAUGAAAAAAAUGUUGAAAAAUGUAUUUACAUUUUACAGAUAUGUUUAGAUCUAUAUAAAAAAGAUGUAAAAAAAAUAAUAGCACAAAUGUUUACUUAUAUUGCUAAUUUUAUUGUAAUAUAUUUUAUUAAAGUUAUUUUACAAUACUUUAAUACAUUUUUUAAUAUAUACAAAAUUUUUCAAAAUCAUAACAUUAGUAAUAACAGUAGUAAUAACAGUGGUAAUAACAUUAGUAAUAACAGUAGUAAUAACAGUGGUAAUAGUAAGCAGGGCACUAGCAAUGUGACGGAAAACAAUGUCAGAGGUAAUUAUUAUAAGGUCAGUUAUACUACUAGCAAUAAUAACCCAUCGCUACAAAUCAACAAAGAAAUAACAAUAUAUAAUGAACGAAAUUUAUCUAAUAAUAUUUAUUCUUAUUUGGAUAAAUCUCAUGUGUGGCAAGAUCUUAACAACUGUAAUAAAAAUGAAAAUAGUAAUAAAA